UGAUUUUUAAAUGGUUUGAAAUAUUUUUGACUGAGUAUGUGGUAUACCGAGUCUCCGGCGCUGAUUCUGUAAGUGUUCUAAAAAUUCUGAUAAGGCUUUGAAAAUAUGAGUAGCAUAUUUUGAAACUACUAUAGGUAGUACACUGUAUUGAGAACACUGUAGAUAGUGUAUACUGAAAACAGUAGCGAAAUUGAAAACUAUAGUAAGACUGCGAUUCGUGA
Molecule: long non-coding RNA, 221 nt
Filed under: Gossypium barbadense (sea-island cotton)
Lineage: Eukaryota; Viridiplantae; Streptophyta; Magnoliopsida; Malvales; Malvaceae
Description: long non-coding RNA (GBAR_LNC017245)
Source: RNAcentral